This 466-nucleotide ribosomal RNA is filed under the name uncultured bacterium. Its description in RNAcentral is "partial 16S ribosomal RNA". It matches the Rfam family "Bacterial small subunit ribosomal RNA", at positions 28 to 509 of the family's 1533-position model. The record is from RNAcentral.
GAUGAACGCUGGCGGCGUGCUUAACACAUGCAAGUCGAACGAUGAAGCCCAGCUUGCUGGGUGGAUUAGUGGCGAACGGGUGAGUAACACGUGAGUAACCUGCCCUUAACUCUGGGAUAAGCCUGGGAAACUGGGUCUAAUACCGGAUAGGAGCGUCCACCGCAUGGUGGGUGUUGGAAAGAUUUAUCGGUUUUGGAUGGACUCGCGGCCUAUCAGCUUGUUGGUGAGGUAAUGGCUCACCAAGGCGACGACGGGUAGCCGGCCUGAGAGGGGGGCCGGCCACAGGGGGGAUAAAGACGCGGCCAGAGCACCAGGGGGGGGCCGGGGGGGAGAUUUGGCAAAUGGGGCGAAAGCCGGAUGCAGCGACCCCGGGUGGGGGAGGACGGCUUUCGGUUGUAAACCCUUUUGCGGUGGGGAAGAAGGGAAGGGCAGGGUACCUGAAAAAGAGACCCGGGCAACCUAGGCC